RNAcentral lists this small nuclear RNA (119 nucleotides) under Mus pahari (shrew mouse). The record is from RNAcentral. Lineage: Eukaryota; Metazoa; Chordata; Mammalia; Rodentia; Muridae.
GUACCGGCUUCUGCAGCACACACGCUGACACACACACUGAAACUGGGGCAGUAUGGAGAAGUUUAGCAUGCCUCUUGUGCAAGGAUGGCACAGAGAUUCAUGAUGAAUUCCAUUUUUUG